AUAUUGCAAUAAAUCAAACAAAACGGUUUUUUGAAAAAUUUUAAUAGAGGUAAUCUUUUUUAACGAUGGAAACUAUGAAUAGAAAUUUGAUCGAUAAAUAAACGGAAAUAAGGGCAAAGUAUAUUUGGAUACAUAAAGGUUGGAAGACUAUAUUAUAUCUAUUUUCAGAUCCAAAAAUCAUUGUAUCUUUUUAUAUCAUGGAAUAUUCGAAUAACUAAGAAAUUUUUCAAUCAAAUAUCUUGUUGAGAUACUUUCGAAAAUGACUAGGAAUUAAAAAAAAAAAAAAAGGAAAAAACUUUAUUCUGAAGAUAGAUAUAAAUUAUUCAAACAAUUUACUUAAACGUGUUAGAAGCAACCAUGAAUAUUGAAAUAAAGAUGAAGAGUUCUUAUUACAUAUUUCAUCACGUCAUCAUAUACUGUAAUAGUGUUUUCCCAGUCAGGUAUUUAAGCAUCUACUUAGAUUAAGUAAAGUAGUACAAUUAUGCUCAGGCACAAUUGUGUGCAUAUAUGUCGAUCAAUUGUUAUCAAUUACGUCUUUAACGCUUAACGAGAUUCAAAUCAAAUUACUAAUAUUAAUAACUACAUGAAAUGAUUUGAGUUUUUUUCUCGAAAUAAGAGACUGGAAGAAAACGAAAAAAAAAAAAAAAAAAAUACAACUUUAGAAAAAGAAAAUGAAUAGUACAAAUGAUUGGAAUGUUCAAGAACACUCGUCGAAAUAAAAUAAGGACAGAAUGCAUCUAAACGUAUUGUGUGUAUAGUUCGUAUCAGUCGAUAUUUUACAACAGGCCUUGGAAUAUCGAUUUGGUAACUUCUAGACACGUGGCACCGUCAUUACGAUCGAUGUUACAAGAAUAUUUUAUCGAAACUAUAUUCGCAAACUAUUUACCUAUACCAUAGCUGAAUUUCAUCAUUCUAUUUGCAAAACAAUAGUCAAUACCCAAACAGGAGAAGGAAAUUCGCGAGAGAGUCGAGCAUGUAUAUGUAUUGCAGAAAGAGAAAAUGGAAGGAAAUUCUAUAAAUAGGAACUAUAUAGUUCGUGCAGUAGCUCGUAAUAUCGAAGAUAGAUCAGGUAGUAUGCAUUUUCGACAAUUUUCGAUUUAAUUUUCGAUUAAUAUUUUUUUUGCAGAAAGAAGUUAGAAUAUUGACAACGAGAAACUGAAUAGUGAAAAAGAAAAAUGAAGAAGAAAAAAAAAAUAAAGUAUAGAUAAGAGGAAAAUUGAUUUUUUUCGUAAUAGAGCUAUCAAGCUUUAAUCCUCUUGUUUAGACAUGGUAUGGAAAGAGGAUACUUGUAUCUGAAAGUGUGAAAGUAGAGAAGCGAGUAUUCUUUGAAAUAUCGCGUGAAAGAACAUAAUGUGGAAAAAUUGCGAAGAAAAGCAAGAAGAAAGAGAAAUGGAAAUCGGGAUAGAAAAUAAGAUAAAAAGAUCGAAUGGAAAGGAUAAGAAAUUUAAAAGAUUUUGUACGAUUGAAAGGAUGUUUCGCUUAAGUUUCCACGAAAUCUUGACACGGAAAGAAGCUGUACAGCACAAUUCUCGAGCACUCGUAACGUUAAAGUAGAGAGUAGAAUAAUAGGUACUUGAAACAGUUACGAAAUGGCAGCUCAGCUAGAUCUCGCACGCGAAUUUCUUCUCGAAUGAAAACUAUUUUGAUGUUAUUUUUAUACGAACUCUAUGUGAUUAGAGGAAACGAACAAACGAUAAGAGAUUGCAUAUAGUAUUUUGCAAUGACAAUAUUUUUUUAAAAGUUGUACGAUGGAGAGAACAAUGACCGAGAUACUGACUUAAAGUAACGAUCGACUGUAUUAAAUCCUCCUAACCUAAAUAACUUGGUAUGAUCACAAUCAUAACUCUAUAGUAAUAGUGAUUCUCUAAACGAAAAGUUUUAACAGGGAUAUCUUAGACACGCGAUGGCACGUUUAAAUUACGUAGAACCCAAAUACAGAGCAGUGAAUCUGCAAUCGUAACAGCUCUACGCCCGUGUCUAUAACGUCCCUCUAUUGGCGUUGAGUAGCUACCGAGCGAGGGCAAUCUCGCUAUUGAUUGCACCUUGCAUCCUCCCGCCCCUUUCUCCUGCCGCGAUCCCCUCUCCGCGACCAUCCUUCGUCCAUCCCAACCCUCAGGGCAACCCCUCCGAUUCCUCUUUUUCUCUACUACUUUCCUCUUUCCCUCGACUCUUUUCGAUUCGAAUUUGCCCCAAGCCAAGGGCCAAGAGACGCUCAGGAACGCACAUUUUAUUCUUUUAUUUCUUCGACGCAACAUACGGUUUCGAUUAUUAACUUUAUACGACAGAAAGUGAUACCAUUUUUUUUUAAAUUAUUACAAUAUUACAAUAUUAAUAAAUAUGUUUAUAAGAAACGAAAUUUAUUUCAAUAAUGAAUGUCUGAUUAUUUGAACUGUCGUUGAAUAUAUAAACAAUAUAUAACAAUCGUGAAUAAUAGUCUUAAGAGAUCGAGAUAUAAAAUUGGAUACGAAAAGAGAAGAUCCUAUCCUGUGAAUAAUACGAAAACUUGAUUUAAAACUGAUACGUUAAUUUUUCACUCAGUCUAACAUAACCUAACUUCGUUCGGUCUUCCGAUUGGCCGAAAUUAUUACGGAUUUUUAUUUAGAGAUAUCGAAGAACAAUGUAUCGACUCGCAGUGACUCGCCCCAACUCGCAUAGCGACGUCUUGACGUCAAUUUUGUUAAUUAAUUCGCCUUCAUUAAAACGAUCGAUCGAGAGACUCGGGUUGACACGUUAGUUACACUUCACCACCGUGAAAACUCGAUUUAACCGCUUAAAGAUUUAUCGGGGACAACCAGUCUCGUCGACUUGUUAUUGCAACGAAAAAUUUUGCGCAUUUAUUGCACACAUUUUCAUCGAUAAUAACAAAACUAACGAAUUAACAAUUUUAAGGAAAAUAGUUUCAAUUUCUGUAAGAUUGAACGUUUAAGAUUUGGAAAUAAUGAUUAUUUUGAGUAACUCGAGAAUUGCAAAUUUUUGGUCGCGAAGCUUUUAUGACGCAUUUACAAUCGAUACAUUCAGUAUGAAAGUUGAAACGACAGAGCAACGAAGCCAUUGUUUUCUCAUAAUGUAUAGCGACUGCAAUCGACACCCGAUACAUCACUGUAUAAAAGAUUAAAAUUUCAGCGGGAAAUGUCUCGCAUUGCAUUAUUUUAACUCUACGAUGAUUUCUAAUCUACGAAUCGUGCCUUCCAAAAAAUCGGAAAGUAUUUUUAAUCGUUAUAAUCAAAUUCUUAAAAAAAAAUAAAAAAAAAAAACGAAAACGAACAACUUCAUUUCAGGAAAUCUCGUUACUCGAAUGAUACGAGGGAACAACUUCGAAGAAUUCCAAUGUUUAAUUAUUCAAUGAGCAUACUUGACGAGAAACAUCGAUGCGCACAAAUGAGAGGAAAUUCCGGACAAAGGAGGAUAUAUAGAAGGCGUAUCGGAAACGAGAUACUCGAAGGAAACACCUAGCUCAUCGGGAUAAUAAGGAAUAUGCUGACGAGAACCGAGACACCAACACCGUGUCGUUGAAUAACAUGUAUGCAUAACUUGCACAGGACACGCGACCCGUACACCUAUACACGCGCCUAUCCAUGUGGAUAUGCAGACAUAUAUACAUACGAAACGAACGAGGAAUAGGAGUGGCCGUAUACUGCAUCGGACAGCUUGUAACUGCGUAUAUUAUUCAUCGGUAAUAAUCAUUCUCCAAAAAUGUAACCAACCGUAAACAGCUUUUUAUAUUAUCGUACAAAACGAUUUCGAUCAAAAAU
This 3752-nucleotide long non-coding RNA is filed under the name Apis florea (little honeybee). RNAcentral's name for it is "uncharacterized LOC105735158". The record is from RNAcentral. Lineage: Eukaryota; Metazoa; Arthropoda; Insecta; Hymenoptera; Apidae.